AGAGUUUGAUCCUGGCUCAGGAUGAACGCUAGCGGCAGGCCUAAUACAUGCAAGUCGAACGGGCGGUAGCAAUACCGCUAGUGGCGCACGGGUGCGUAACGCGUAACCAACCUGCCCUCGACUGGGGGAUAGCCCGCCGAAAGGCGGAUUAAUACCGCAUAAACCAACAGUGCGGCAUCGCACAAUUGGUAAAGAUUUAUUGGUCGAGGAUGGGGUUGCGUAGCAUUAGCUGGUUGGCGGGGUAACGGCCCACCAAGGCGACGAUGCUUAGGGGACCUGAGAGGGUGAUCCCCCACACUGGCACUGAGAUACGGGCCAGACUCCUACGGGAGGCAGCAGUAGGGAAUAUUGGGCAAUGGGCGCGAGCCUGACCCAGCCAUGCCGCGUGCCGGAUGAAGGCCUUCUGGGUUGUAAACGGCUUUUCUCAGGGAAGAAAAAGGCCCUGCGGGGCACACUGACGGUACCUGAGGAAUAAGCACCGGCUAACUCCGUGCCAGCAGCCGCGGUAAUACGGAGGGUGCAAGCGUUGUCCGGAUUUAUUGGGUUUAAAGGGUGCGUAGGUGGCCCGGCAAGUCCGUGGUGAAAGCCUCCUGCUCAACAGGAGAACUGCCAUGGAUACUACCGGGCUUGAGUCCAGGCGAGGUUGGCGGAAUGGACGGUGUAGCGGUGAAAUGCAUAGAUACCGUCCAGAACCCCGAUUGCGUAGGCAGCUGACUAGGCUGGCACUGACACUGAGGCACGAAAGCGUGGGGAGCGAACAGGAUUAGAUACCCCGGUAGUCC
This 782-nucleotide ribosomal RNA is filed under the name uncultured bacterium. Its description in RNAcentral is "bacterial SSU rRNA". It matches the Rfam family "Bacterial small subunit ribosomal RNA", at positions 8 to 796 of the family's 1533-position model. The record is from RNAcentral.